This 377-nucleotide unclassified non-coding RNA is filed under the name plant metagenome. RNAcentral describes it as "partial contains 5.8S ribosomal RNA, internal transcribed spacer 2, and large subunit ribosomal RNA". The stretch from base 1 to 104 matches the Rfam family "5.8S ribosomal RNA", at positions 51 to 154 of the family's 154-position model. The record is from RNAcentral.
AAAUGCGAUAAGUAAUGUGAAUUGCAGAAUUCAGUGAAUCAUCGAAUCUUUGAACGCACCUUGCGCUCCUUGGUAUUCCUUGGAGCAUGCCUGUUUGAGUAUCAUGAAAUCUUCAAAGUAAAUCUUUUGUUAACUCAAUUGGUUUCUACUUUGGUAUUGGAGGUCUUUGCAGCAUCACACCUGCUCCUCUUUGUUCAUUAGCUGGAUCUCAGUGUUAUGCUUGGUUCCACUCGGCGUGAUAAGUUAUCUAUCGCUGAGGACACUGUAAAAGGUGGCCAAGGUAAAUGCAGAUGAACCGCUUCUAAUAGUCCAUUGACUUGGACAAUACUUUUAUGAUCUGAUCUCAAAUCAGGUAGGACUACCCGCUGAACUUAAGC